UCCACAGGCGUUCACAGGGAGCGUGGCAAGCUGCGGAGCAGGAUGUCCGUGAGGCGCCCGGCCGGCCUGCGCCCAGCCGCCUGCUCCCCCAGGCCGGCUGCCAAGGCGCUGAGAGAGCUCGGCUAAGAACACCCCACGCCUUACAGCUCAGCCCGUUGAAUCACCCCGUGACUCUUUGUCGAGCCCCGCGUUGGUGGGUGCCACGGGCGGCUGCGCACUUCGCCUCCAUUGGCGUGGCUUAGGCGGCAGAGCUGGGCUUAGAUCCUGCGGCCUGCGGGUCGGACUUGCUCCAGCGUCUCCAGAGCCCACGUCCCCGAGGCCGCGAGAGACGGGAAAUGCGUGCGCGCGGUAUGCUGACGGCUCUGCGCGGUGCUCCCUGAUUCGGAGGAACUGUCGUCCAAGCUCCUUCACGCUCACAUUGACAGCAUCUCCGUUCCCCAGGGUGGUUGGAAAAAUGAGUCAGGGUCCACCACGUCUCCUUCUCAGGGCUGGUGCGUGGUGGGACCAGAUGCCGAAGCGGUUUGCACAUCCGGCCUGCUGGGCAUUCUCAGACGAGAGCACACCCGGGAGUUUGCCAGUGGCCAGGGAGGCCUUGCUGAAAUGUCCGUGGCAGUGUCGGCACUCGGGCCUGAAGGACGGGAGCGUCAAGGGGCUACUGAUGGUGAGGGGUCACUCCGGGAGGUUCUCAUCUGGGAGUGAGCUGGGAGCAGACCCCCAUUGGAAAUAAGCGAGGCGGAUGGUUUGCGCAGGACUGAAGCCAGGGCUCCGGCUUGGAUCCUCCCGGAACGGCCAAUGUAGAGGCCCCGUGGAGGGCAUGACAGCUGGGAGGAGCAGAGGGGUCCGCCUGGAAAGACCUCUGAGGCUCAGAGCCCGUGGCACUGGCUGGGACUGCAGGCCCCGUGAAGCAUCUGGCGUCCACACCCGCUCACCACGCCACCGUGCUGGGUGCUCAUGGCAUCAGUAACCACACAGCGCGGCCCCAUGGAGUACUUCCCGCACACCUGGCAGUCUGUGGGCUCACACUGUCCAGAGCACGUUCGCCUGUGAGACAGCUGCUGAAGCAAGAACUGUCUGGAACUAAGUAGAACAUGGCUGACAGGUGCCCAGGAGCACGUCCGGAGCCCAAGGCCCCUCCAGCCUGUCACUGUCCCCUUGGUCCCACGUGGUCAGAGGUUCCAUUCAGGUGUUUCUGGAGAGAAGGCAAAUGAGCAGCGUCUCUCGUGAAACUUUGUCCUUUUACUCAGAAAGGAAUACGCUCACCAAAAUUUCUAUCUGUGCUCACGGACAGGAACCGGGGUGCUUUGCCCACGUGGCCGCAGAGAGCCUGGGAAGGUGAGCCGUCAUCAGGAAGCAUGGCCGCCCCUACAAGCUCAGGGUCCUCUCAGGGAACAGGGGGUAUGGCGGACAUGUGUUGACUGACGUGGCUGUCCCCACCGUCCUGGGAUGUGAUUGCCAUUUUCAUUUUCAUAAUUUGACGGAGGAGGAGAUUAAGGGACAGGCAAGCCAGGUCAUUUCUUUCCUGAAGACUACCUAAUAGACGGGGAACCGUAUCUCUGUGAGACCAUAGGCAACCUGAGAGCAGGACUGUGUGUUUGUCCUUUGCCCUGUGUAGCUGUGACCCCAUCACCAGACAGAAUGUCACUUGGAUCGAUGCCUGAUCUAAUGCCUCAUUGAUGGUCCAGUAAAGUCCCGUGCAUGUCUCAGGCUUCCCCGUCCUCCUUCUCAGAGGAAAGAGUUCCAGAAGCCUCCCCAUGCCGGCAUGCAGUUCCUCUGGGCCCAGGCAGCGUGGGUGUGCCAGGAGGACGAGUUUCGGCCGACUGCCAUCCCAGCCACGUUCAGCUGAGCUCACCAGGACUGAACAAGGCCUGAAGUGUCUCAAGGAGUGUUUUUAACAAGUUGUAAAUAAUAUCUCACCAAGUUCCCUCGCUGCCUAGAAUUGAUGCAGCUGGUGAGAAGUAGUCAUGAUCCCGUGCAUCAUUUGUCCAUUUACAAGAACAUUUCAUUCACCUCCUUCCAGAAGGAUGCACAGAACACGCUUUUAAAGAAGGCGUAACUGGUACUGACAUAUGGGAAAGCUGUGUUGCACUGGCUCAUGCGGUGUGUGCAGAAGAAGGGAUACUCGUAAUUACUGGGGAUUUUUAAAAAAAUAGAGAUAAUUUGUCUUAAGAAGAAACAUGGGCUUCUGCAGAAUGAUGACUUUGUCUCCCCGUGGUCUGCUCUUGGGUCAGAAACGUGGCCGGUACCCUGCCAUGUGAUUGCUGGCUUCUGGCCCUGCUCUCUCACUCUCGAAGAAAGGGCGUAUGUCUCAGCCUCCUGCAGAAGGCUCUUGCCCUGCUCUUGCC
Long non-coding RNA from Mustela lutreola (European mink), 2342 nucleotides. RefSeq lists it as uncharacterized. Lineage: Eukaryota; Metazoa; Chordata; Mammalia; Carnivora; Mustelidae. The record is from RefSeq and is a predicted model, not a curated record. The transcript has 4 exons.